GAGGACUACAAAGGUUCUUUCGGAUGUAGAUCUUUUCUGUGGAGGCCGCACAAUUCACAGAUUUCUCUCUGGUGGCAACUUCAACAGGCUUCCGCUCACACUGCACAGCUGGAAUAUAAAAGAGUAUCUGACAAGCUAUGCAGCGCUGUAGUCGGCAGUACUGGCAGCGGUUUCGGUGGAGUUUGUUAAUGGCGCAUUCUCCAGAGCCCCUGCAGGUAUACACCAGGUUCUUUCUUAUGCUACGUUUGAAGAAGCCCUUGCAGCCCUCGCAGCUGACUGCUCCGUAAUGACGCCCUAAAAGUGAAGGAAAUGUCGGGGUUUGUUUAAAAAAAAAAAAAAAAGGUUUGGUUUAAUUAAAGAAAAAUGUCACUA
Girardinichthys multiradiatus is the source of this 372-nucleotide long non-coding RNA. RefSeq lists it as uncharacterized. The transcript has 2 exons. Lineage: Eukaryota; Metazoa; Chordata; Actinopteri; Cyprinodontiformes; Goodeidae. The record is from RefSeq and is a predicted model, not a curated record.